This 381-nucleotide ribosomal RNA is filed under the name uncultured eukaryote. RNAcentral describes it as "partial 18S ribosomal RNA". It matches the Rfam family "Eukaryotic small subunit ribosomal RNA", at positions 592 to 976 of the family's 1831-position model. The record is from RNAcentral.
CAAUAGCGUAUAUUAAAGCUGUUGCGGUUAAAAAGCUCGUAGUUGGAUUUCUGUCAAGGACAACUGGUCCGCCCCUCGGGUGAGCACAUAGUUUGGUCUUGGCAUCUUGUUGGAAACUGUUGCUGCACUUGGUUGUGUGGCGCAGUGUCCAGCACUUUCACUUUGAGGAAAUUGGAGUGUUUCAAGCAGGCACAUGCCUUUGGACACAGUGGCAUGGAAUAAUUAGAUUGGGCUUUUGCUCCAACUUGUCGGUUUCUGGAGCUGAGGUGAGAAUUAAUGGGGAUUGUUGGGGGCAUCCGAAUUUAGCCGUCAGAGGUGAAAUUCUUGGAUCUGCUAAAGACGGACAACUGCGAAAGCGUUUGCCCAGGAUGUUUUCAUUGA